This 253-nucleotide ribosomal RNA is filed under the name uncultured bacterium. RNAcentral's name for it is "partial 16S ribosomal RNA". It matches the Rfam family "Bacterial small subunit ribosomal RNA", at positions 524 to 776 of the family's 1533-position model. The record is from RNAcentral.
UACAGAGGUCCCAAGCGUUGUUCGGAUUCACUGGGCGUAAAGGGUGCGUAGGUGGCAGGGUAAGUUUGAUGUGAAAUCUCCGAGCUCAACUCGGAAAUGGCAUUGAAUACUAUCCUGCUUGAGGGUCGGAGGGGAGACUGGAAUUCCUGGUGUAGCAGUGAAAUGCGUAGAUAUCAGGAGGAACACCGAUGGCGAAGGCAGGUCUCUGGGCUGACACUGACGCUCAUGCACGAAAGCGUGGGGAGCAAACAGG